ACGUAGGGGGCUAGCGUUAUCCGGAUUUACUGGGCGUAAAGGGUGCGUAGGCGGUCUUUCAAGUCAGGAGUGAAAGGCUACGGCUCAACCGUAGUAAGCUCUUGAAACUGGGAGACUUGAGUGCAGGAGAGGAGAGUGGAAUUCCUAGUGUAGCGGUGAAAUGCGUAGAUAUUAGGAGGAACACCAGUGGCGAAGGCGGCUCUCUGGACUGUAACUGACGCUGAGGCACGAAAGCGUGGGGAGCAAACAGGAUUAGAUACCCUGGUAGUCCACGCUGUAAACGAUGAGUACUAGGUGUCGGGGGUUACCC
Molecule: ribosomal RNA, 310 nt
Filed under: Clostridioides difficile
Lineage: Bacteria; Bacillati; Bacillota; Clostridia; Peptostreptococcales; Peptostreptococcaceae
Description: bacterial SSU rRNA
Rfam family: Bacterial small subunit ribosomal RNA
Source: RNAcentral